UCGCGCUAUCAGAUGAGCCUGCGUUAGAUUAGCUAGUUGGUAGGGUAAAGGCCUACCAAGGCGACGAUCUAUAGCUGGUCUGAGAGGACGAUCAGCCACACUGGGACUGAGACACGGCCCAGACUCCUACGGGAGGCAGCAGUGGGGAAUAUUGGACAAUGGGCGCAAGCCUGAUCCAGCAAUACCGCGUGUGUGAAGAAGGCCUAAGGGUUGUAAAGCACUUUCAAUGGGGAGGAAAACUGCCGGUCAAUACCCGGUAGCUUGACAUUACCUUUAGAAGAAGCACCGGCUAAUCCGUGCCAGCAGCCGCGGUAAUACGGAGGGUGCGAGCGUUAAUCGGAAUUACUGGGCGUAAAGCGUGCGUAGGCGGUUCGUUAAGUCAGAUGUGAAAGCCCGGGCUUAACCUGGGAACUGCAUUUGAAACUGGCGGACUAGAGUUGAGUAGAGGGGAGUGGAAUUUCAGGUGUAGCGGUGAAAUGCGUAGAUAUCUGAAGGAACACCAGUGGCGAAGGCGACUCCCUGGACUCAAACUGACGCUGAGGUACGAAAGCGUGGGUAGCAAACAGGAUUAGAUACCCUGGUAGCCA
RNAcentral lists this ribosomal RNA (587 nucleotides) under uncultured bacterium. Its description in RNAcentral is "bacterial SSU rRNA". It matches the Rfam family "Bacterial small subunit ribosomal RNA", at positions 213 to 796 of the family's 1533-position model. The record is from RNAcentral.